RNAcentral lists this long non-coding RNA (232 nucleotides) under Phoenix dactylifera (date palm). RNAcentral describes it as "long non-coding RNA (PDAC_LNC009096)". The record is from RNAcentral. Lineage: Eukaryota; Viridiplantae; Streptophyta; Magnoliopsida; Arecales; Arecaceae.
CGGUGGGAACCCAACCUUGAAAGGUUCAAUGGGUAGAAACAAACCGAAGUGUGACUAAGAGGAGCACUAUUUCAUGUUUUCCUCAUCCCUAUGGCGCUAGUGCUCAUAAAAGCAAGCGGUAGGAUGAGUUCGUUUGUAUCUUAAUGAGUCCGAGACCCAAGAGGCAGGAGCUUCCUUGCUAGCUUCCUUAUUAGGACUCACCUAUAUAUGCAGUCGUGAGGCCGCGAUUAUG